Molecule: non-coding RNA, 82 nt
Filed under: Escherichia coli
Lineage: Bacteria; Pseudomonadati; Pseudomonadota; Gammaproteobacteria; Enterobacterales; Enterobacteriaceae
Source: RNAcentral
CAUUAUGGUGGGUUGGCGGUGGCGCUCCGGCGCGCCGGUUCCUUUUUCCCGGUAAGACCAACGCCGUCAGCUCACCACCCUG